UUUGAGCUGUGCGUCGCUUUCGCACUUAUUAGUGUUGUCAAAAACAAAAAGAGAGAUUCGACUCAGUCGAAGUCUUCCGUGCAGUAAGGUACUUUUAAGUUGUUUGGGGUAUACUCAAAAUUAGGUAAAUUCAACUUAAAUUUAAGUAAAUUAAACUCAAGGUUGAGUUAUUAUUUUUGCCGUAGUUAAAUGGAAACUACCUUCAACACGGUUUACCUAAUUUUACCUUCCUGCACGAUACCACGAGAUUGAGUCAAAAGUACUGAAUUUUAGGUAGUUUUUCGGUGGCGUGUAGUUUGCAGAUGGUAGAUAGAAUGGCAGGCUGUUAGCGGAUUGACAAAGUACCAGAUCAAGCUGUGUGGGGUGCUGUCCCAGUUAACAAUGAGGCGAACGAGAUAUUUGCUGAUACGUCAUUUAGUCGGACAACUGUCAGUUUGUUGGUUGAAUUUAAUUUGGUUUUUUUUUAAUUUGAAAAUCAGAAAAUAAUAAUUAAGGUUUAAGAAUGAUAUGAGUGUACUCGUAAGGACACCUGCUAUCAAUAAAUGUGAAAAAAUUGGCACAAUUUUUCCAAAUUAAAGAUCCCUAUAGUUAAGUACCAUUUUUUCGCUCAACAGCAACGAUGUUUGCGAACAGAUUUCUUAUAUUUCAGUAUUCAUCGUGAUCGUUACCCACCGCACUAUAUUCUGUACGCACAUCUAUCCGGACAGAAUUUCGGAUCGUUUUAUCAUGAUCGUAGGUGCACUCAUCGCUACAUCAACGAAACUCUACGAUCACCAUUCCGACAGAAUAUCGGACUCCACCCUCUACGAGCAUCAUCCCUACAGAAUAUCGUAGCAGACUGGACCGCACAGAAGUUUUCUGUGAUCGCCGUCGACGAGUCACCAUCACCUAGCAACACUAUCUCCGGACAGUUUUCGGCCCGUACUACGUCAUCGCAAGAAACAGACAACACAGCUACACCGCUAGUCCAUACCAACUAGCAGGAUCGUCAAAGCUACCGACAUCAUCAAUAUUCCAGUAGUUCGGCCCAUAUCACUGGCCUAAACAACUACUGGUUGCAUUUUCACGAUAAUUCAAGGCGGGGAGAAUGUUCACGCCGAAGUGAACAUCGUACCAGAUAAUUAUUUUGACCCCCCAAAUCGACACCAGCAGAUAGUGUGCCAAAUCGCUUAUUUUCACCCCGGUGGCACAGAUUAAAUUAUCCUUCAAUUUCGAUCAGCUGGCGCACAGGCAAACCGAAGGCAAGCUAUCAUCAUCGUUACCCAGCUGAUUGCUGCCAAUUGCCACUGGAGAUGAACAAUGCUUUUUGCAAUCCGACGCUUUCCAUGCAAAUUCGUCGCCGUAGCAGCACCGAGAGCAGAUGAUCGCACACGGUUGGAUCAUCUUCCCCUUCAGCCAUCUCGUGUCCUGUGGGAGCAGCAGGACAGUACGGCAGUACAAAGUUUAUCGCCGAAUAACACAGUCCAGCGCAACCAACUGUACGUCGCGCUCGCCGUGCAUACGUCGCACGCCCGUAUCCCCACAGACCGGGACUUAGAAUAAAAAUCGAAGCAGUGAAAUUUAAAAAUAACAAUCAUGUGCAUAGUGUAAAUAAAUGUUGCUUGUUCUAGAAAAUAGACCUUUAGUGUU
This is a long non-coding RNA of Topomyia yanbarensis, 1629 nucleotides long. RefSeq lists it as uncharacterized. The record is from RefSeq and is a predicted model, not a curated record. The transcript has 2 exons. NCBI's taxonomy places the organism in Eukaryota, Metazoa, Arthropoda, Insecta, Diptera, Culicidae.